UACGUAGGGACCAAGCGUUGUUCGGAUUUACUGGGCGUAAAGGGCGCGUAGGCGGCGUGACAAGUCACUUGUGAAAUCUCCGGGCUUAACUCGGAACGGCCAAGUGAUACUGUCGUGCUAGAGUGCAGAAGGGGGCAAUCGGAAUUCUUGGUGUAGCGGUGAAAUGCGUAGAUAUCAGGAGGAACACCGAGUGGCGAAGGCAGGUCUCUGGGCAUUAACUGACGCUGGAGGAGCGAAAGCAUGGGGAGCGAACAGG
Molecule: ribosomal RNA, 256 nt
Filed under: uncultured bacterium
Lineage: Bacteria
Description: partial 16S ribosomal RNA
Rfam family: Bacterial small subunit ribosomal RNA
Source: RNAcentral